Molecule: ribosomal RNA, 619 nt
Filed under: Duganella sp. Se3Ps_2572
Lineage: Bacteria; Pseudomonadati; Pseudomonadota; Betaproteobacteria; Burkholderiales; Oxalobacteraceae
Description: bacterial SSU rRNA
Rfam family: Bacterial small subunit ribosomal RNA
Source: RNAcentral
UGCCGCGUGAGUGAAGAAGGCCUUCGGGUUGUAAAGCUCUUUUGUCAGGGAAGAAACGGUGCGGGCUAAUAUCUCGUGCUAAUGACGGUACCUGAAGAAUAAGCACCGGCUAACUACGUGCCAGCAGCCGCGGUAAUACGUAGGGUGCAAGCGUUAAUCGGAAUUACUGGGCGUAAAGCGUGCGCAGGCGGUUUUGUAAGACUGUCGUGAAAUCCCCGGGCUCAACCUGGGAAUGGCGAUGGUGACUGCAAGGCUAGAGUUUGGCAGAGGGGGGUAGAAUUCCACGUGUAGCAGUGAAAUGCGUAGAUAUGUGGAGGAACACCGAUGGCGAAGGCAGCCCCCUGGGUCAAAACUGACGCUCAUGCACGAAAGCGUGGGGAGCAAACAGGAUUAGAUACCCUGGUAGUCCACGCCCUAAACGAUGUCUACUAGUUGUCGGGUUUUAAUUAACUUGGUAACGCAGCUAACGCGUGAAGUAGACCGCCUGGGGAGUACGGUCGCAAGAUUAAAACUCAAAGGAAUUGACGGGGACCCGCACAAGCGGUGGAUGAUGUGGAUUAAUUCGAUGCAACGCGAAAAACCUUACCUACCCUUGACAUGGAUGGAAUCCCGGAGAGAU